UUUUUAGUAUAAGUGUGUCCUAUGGGUAUUUGGGAUAUACUUAUACUAAAA
This 51-nucleotide microRNA precursor is filed under the name Felis catus (domestic cat). RNAcentral describes it as "mir-1302 microRNA precursor family". It matches the Rfam family "mir-1302 microRNA precursor family". The record is from Rfam by way of RNAcentral. Lineage: Eukaryota; Metazoa; Chordata; Mammalia; Carnivora; Felidae.